GACGAACGCUGGCGGCGUGCUUAACACAUGCAAGUCGAACGAAAAGGCCCUGCUUUUGUGGGGUGCUCGAGUGGCGAACGGGUGAGUAACACGUGAGUAACCUGCCCUUGACUUUGGGAUAACUUCAGGAAACUGGGGCUAAUACCGGAUAGGAGCUCCUGCUGCAUGGUGGGGGUUGGAAAGUUUCGGCGGUUGGGGAUGGGCUCGCGGCUUAUCAGCUUGUUGGUGGGGUAGUGGCUUACCAAGGCUUUGACGGGUAGCCGGCCUGAGAGGGUGACCGGCCACAUUGGGACUGAGAUACGGCCCAGACUCCUACGGGAGGCAGCAGUGGGGAAUAUUGCACAAUGGGCGGAAGCCUGAUGCAGCAACGCCGCGUGCGGGAUGACGGCCUUCGGGUUGUAAACCGCUUUCGCCUGUGACGAAGCGUGAGUGACGGUAAUGGGUAAAGAAGCACCGGCUAACUACGUG
Molecule: ribosomal RNA, 468 nt
Filed under: uncultured bacterium
Lineage: Bacteria
Description: partial 16S ribosomal RNA
Rfam family: Bacterial small subunit ribosomal RNA
Source: RNAcentral